GGCUGCUCCAAGUGCAGUGGUGUUUACAACUAAUUGAUCACAACCAGUUACAGAUUUCUUUGUUCCUUCUCCACUCCCACUGCUUCACUUGACUUGCCUAAA
This is a Y RNA of Callithrix jacchus (white-tufted-ear marmoset), 102 nucleotides long. It matches the Rfam family "Y RNA". From Rfam's summary of the family: Y RNAs are components of the Ro ribonucleoprotein particle (Ro RNP), in association with Ro60 and La proteins. The Y RNAs and Ro60 and La proteins are well conserved, but the function of the Ro RNP is not known. The record is from Ensembl. NCBI's taxonomy places the organism in Eukaryota, Metazoa, Chordata, Mammalia, Primates, Cebidae.